This 2052-nucleotide long non-coding RNA is filed under the name Salmo trutta (river trout). RNAcentral describes it as "lncRNA (ENSSTUG00000006930.1)". Lineage: Eukaryota; Metazoa; Chordata; Actinopteri; Salmoniformes; Salmonidae. The record is from RNAcentral.
GUCAGUACAUCACGUGGUACUGCACUAGAAAUGAACUAGCUCUUCACAUGCAAAUGCAGGUCAUUAUAAUUUAAUGAUAGAGUAUUCAUAAAAACAUGAGACAUCAUUUGAACUCUCAGGGGAAUGGUUUGCUAAGUACUGGAUAGACUCGACCUGAAAAUAAACCUAAACCUGAAAAUAAAGGAUCCUCGUACUUAUGUCAACUGUCAUACACAGUCAACCCCUGGAUACAGACAGACAGUCAACCCCUGGAUACAGAUUAACAGUCAGCCCCUGGAUACAGAUUAACAGUCAACCCCUGGAUACAGAUUAACAGUCAGCCCCUGGAUACAGAUUAACAGUAAACCCCUGGAUACAGAUUAACAGUCAACCCCUGGAUACAGACAGACAGUCAACCCCUGGAUACAGAUAGACAGUCAACCCCUGGAUACAGGUUAACAGUCAACCCCAGGAUACAGAUUAACAGUCAACCCCUGGAUACAGACAGACAGAUUAACAGUCAACCCCUGGAUACAGACAGACAGUCAACCCCUGGAUACAGAUUAACAGUCAACCCCUGGAUACAUACAGACAGUCAACCCCUGGAUACAGAUUAACAGUCAAUCCCUGGAUACAGAUUAACAGUCAACCCCUGGAUACAGAUUAACAGUCAGCCCCUGGAUACAGAUUAACAGUCAACCCCUGGAUACAGAUUAACAGUCAGCCCCUGGAUACAGAUUAACAGUCAACCCCUGGAUACAGACAGACAGUCAACCCCUUAAUACAGACAGACAGUCAACCCCUUAAUACAGACAGUCAACCCCUGGAUACAGGUUAACAGUCAACCCCUGGAUACAGACAGACAGACAACCCCUGGAUACAGACAGACAGACAGUCAACCCCUGGAUACAGAUUAACAGUCAGCCCCUGGAUACAGAUUAACAGUCAACCCCUGGAUACAGAUUAACAGUCAACCCCUGGAUACAGAUUAACAGUCAACCCCUGGAUACAGAUUAACAGUCAACCCCUGGAUACAGAUUAACAGUCAACCCCUGGAUACAGACAGACAGUCAACCCCUGGAUACAGACAGACAGUCAACCCCUGGAUACAGAUUAACAGAAUGAAAUCAAACACUACAUGCAGACACACAUCCUUUAUUAGGUUCCGUCAUCAUUUAAUAUAUUAGACCAACAUGGUGGGGGGGAGAAGAAGAACACAUCACUUCUGAAGGUUAUUAUUAUUCAUUCAUGACUAAUAUUAUUUAUACAUGUGUAAUAUAAUAUAGAUAACCAACAAUUUGACUCCCUUUCAAAGCGGGAGAGAUUGACAUCAGAUAAAUGUAAAAAAAAAAAUGAAAAUAAUAUUUUAUCAUGAUAAUAAUAAUAAUUAAAAAACAAAAAGGAUAGCAUAUAGGCUUUUCUAGAACAGCAAGCCUCCAUCAUCAGGUCUGAGGUGAUAAACUAGCUCUCUCUCCCCUUCCUUCCUAGCCAAUAGAAACCUGAGGAGGGAGUCCUAUGCAUCCCCGUACAAAGAACAUGGUGAAACCCCCUUGAAGCCCACGCCUGCACCUAUCCAAUACUUUUACAUUUGUGACGGAGUGUACACGUCAGGAGAAAGGAGAGAUUAUUGGGAUGCGGAUUCGUGUAGGAGAGGGGCUGUUUUGUAUAGUAUGACUCAGGAUGGUGGCGAAGCCAAAACUGAUCUGUGAUCGCUUAGUUUUGCCUGGUGCUGCACUGAUCUGUGAUCGCUUAGCUUUGCCUGCCUGUAAGUAAAGUGCAGUGGUCAACAGACUGCUCUGUCUGUGGUCAUUUAAAGGAGCAUGGAGUGUGUCUGUGGUCUGGAAACAUCCCAAAAGGCACCCUAUUCCCUAUUUAGUGCACUACUUUUGACUAGAGCCCUAAAGUAAUCCACUACAUAUUGGAUAGGGUGCCAUUUGGGAUGUAGACUUUAACAGUAUUGUGUGAGGAGGAGGAGUGGUGGGUUCAAAACACAUGGAUGUGGAGUGACUACCAGAUAAAGAGGUAGAUCCAGGGUAUGGAUCCAGGGUAUAGAUCCAGGGUAUGGUCUAUGGU